This 481-nucleotide ribosomal RNA is filed under the name uncultured bacterium. Its description in RNAcentral is "partial 16S ribosomal RNA". It matches the Rfam family "Bacterial small subunit ribosomal RNA", at positions 28 to 508 of the family's 1533-position model. The record is from RNAcentral.
GACGAACGCUGGCGGCGUGCUUAACACAUGCAAGUCGAACGAUGAAGAAAAGAAUUGUAGCUUCGGCAGAAAUUCAUUUCGGAUUAGUGGCAGACUGGUUCGUAACCCGUUAUUAACCUACCUCUUACAAAGGGAUAGCCUCGGUAAAACGGGAUACAUACCACAUGACAUUGCGACGAAGCAUUUCGAUUCACUCAAAUCUACGGCGGUAAGAGGUGGGCUCGCGUACCAUUAACCAGAUGGUGAGGUAACGGCUCACCAUAGUAACGAUGGGUAACCGGCCAGAGAAGGUGAGCGGUCACACUGGAACUGAGACACGGUCCAGAAUCCUACGGGAGGCAGCAGUGGGGAAUAUUGCACAAUGGAGGGAACUGUGAAGCAGCGACGGCGCGUGAGUGAUGAAGGAAUGCGUAUAGUAAAACUCUGUUAUAUGGGAAGAAAAGGACUGUACCAUAGGAGAAAGCUCCGGCUAAAUACGUGC